RNAcentral lists this ribosomal RNA (327 nucleotides) under uncultured eukaryote. RNAcentral describes it as "partial 18S ribosomal RNA". It matches the Rfam family "Eukaryotic small subunit ribosomal RNA", at positions 1470 to 1796 of the family's 1831-position model. The record is from RNAcentral.
CCCUUAGAUGUUCUGGGCCGCACACGCGCUACACUGAAGGAGGCAGCGUGUACUCCUGGAUCGAAAGAUUUGGGUAACCCGCGAAUCUCCUUCGUGCUAGGGAUUGAGGUUUGCAAUUAUCCUUCAUGAACGAGGAAUUCCCAGUAAGUGCAAGUCAUAAGCUUGCGCUGACUACGUCCCUGCCCUUUGUACACCCCGCCCGUCGCUACUACCGAUUGAAUGAUUUAGUGAGGACUUCGGACUGGGACCGAUGCGGCUUUCGGGCUGCGUCGGUAUUCUGGAAAGAUGUCCAAACUGUAUCAUUUAGAGGAAGUAAAANUCGUAACA